CAUCAUACGUCGUUAGUCUGUUGGAUCCUCGCUUUAGCUCAUUCGGUCCUUCAUCACCCAAAUUGCUAGGUAUAUCUUUCCUGACAUUUAUUCAUUGUAUGUAUCAUACCAGAGUGCUAGUAAACUGUCUGUGUGUUAUCCAAAUGCCGUAUUCCUGAAUCUUAUUUUGAGUUUGGCAGAUAGCCAGGGACAUCGGGUCCAUCACCAGCGCUAACACCUUUCUUCACCCCUUCCCUUGGUCUAUCUUGCCUCACAUGGCGCGUCGACAGGAUACGGCAAGUGAUUCUUCAGAUUUUUCACUUCUGAUUGAUACCGUAUUAAUUUUUGCAAGUACUUUGACUUUGAAGUUUUAUGCUUUUGUAGUUCGAAAGGUUGUUGAAAGGUUCGCUUUAGGCCUAGCCUCGUCAUUCGAACGCAUUGCAUAGCAUCUUUCGAACAGUUCUAUCCCUUCCUAACUUCUAGUUUUUUUGUCACGCAUUCAGUUCUUCACUUCAGUUUUUCGUUGCAUUUGUGCAUUUUUCAGUUGUUCGCAAUUUCGAACGCGACGUUGGACGUUCGUUAGGUUCAGCUGGUAACACCUAUCUGGAGCAUGGUGCAGUAUUGUUUCCGUCUCUCGGUUUUCGUUGUGUCUUAACAAAUAUCGUCUUUUGAGUUUCUUCUUUCAUGAAAAGUCCAAAGGUGUUGAGACUUCUUUUGCGUCCAGCACAAGAGUUGUUUGAAGAGUGCGUCUUACGUAAUCUCACACUCCCAGAGAACGCUGAUCCUCGUCAAGCAGCAAUUCUCAUCAUGGAAGACGUCGAAAGAAGGAAACGUGCAUCUACGAGUGGCUAUUCCCACCAAAGACGACAACGAGGAAUACCAAACAUCGGAAGAAUCAUCAGAAGACGAACAUCAGGAUGAACAAGUCUCAUCAACGAACAGAACAAGUCUACAGAGCGAGGCAACGAGGACCAGUCUCACUUCCUACUACAUGUCUACUGGAUGUGACUGUCUCACUCUGAUCAAGCUGGCACGACAGAUCGAACCUUCUCAGAAACACCGUGAUCCAAACUGGCGUCAACAAGGAGCCGAAGAAGGAACAUCAACGUCAGCAAUGCUUUUCGUCCACAUCACAGCCUAAGUAUUCAUCUCGGCAAAAUGCGACUGGUGCACAUCUGCCAAGCUUGGAAUCACCGUUUGGCCUAAUGGACACGUCUCCACCCAGUCACCUCCAAAGUCCCACCAGGAGAAGAUCUUCAACAGCAUGUUCUUAAAGAAAGACUUCCUCUAGGAACUUUCUCCAUCACACGCUGAAGAAUUUCAACCCAUACAGGAAAGGAUCUUCUACAACACUACAUCCAAGGAUCAAGACACUUCGACAGACAUCGAGACAUCAAAACUCAUCACAUCCUUCACGCUUCCAACAACGUGCAAGUAAAUAACAACAAAGCCUCGACAUCAACGUGUUCAUCAACACAACGCAAAUCUCCACCAAGGAACUGUCCUUUCCCACUUCUUCCUGGCACCAACAUCGUGGCACCCCAGGACGGCCCCAACAUCGUGGCAUCCCAGGACAAGGUGAAGAUACCAUCCCGUCAAGCAACAUCAGUCUCCGCAAGAACAAGUUCGUCAAACAGUUUUCCGGCGAACAACAGUGUUUGUGAACGUGUUAGUGAAUUCCGUAAUGUUAUCAACCUUCAUACAACACAGCCAUCACAGGUAUGUGAAAAUGUCAUGGUGCAUAACGACGAAAAGGAUGAGUCAUCUGACCUCUUGCUUGUGAAUACCGUACAAGUCAAUGACAUCAUUCCUUUGGAUAGGGUUGUUGUACGAGAGUCAGAUGCAAAAAUUGAAGUACAGCAUGCUGAAAUCUUGCACUACUUGGACAAACUUAAAGACAAAGUAACCUCACACAUAAAUGACACAAAGCUUAAGAAACUCCAUCAUUCUUAAGCACGCGAACGUGUUUUCUAAGCAAAAGUAUGACAUCGGAUUUUGUCCAAAGACCGAACAUUGCAUCGAUCUCUCUGACAGCAUUCCUGUUCGCGUAAAGUCUUUCCGCUACUCAUGGAAUGACAGAAAAUUCAUCAAGGAAGAAAUCGACAACUGGCUUAAAUUAGGUCUUGUUCGAAAAUCGGAGUCUCAUUACGCUUCCCCAGUUUUCGUUGUUGAUCAACCAUUUCAUCCGUCAACACCACGCAGACUUGUUGUUGACUACCGUAAGCUAAAUGGGAAAACCGUCAAAAGAGUGUAUAGUGUGCCUCGAAUUGAUGAUACUGUUGACAGAGUAGGAAAAAAACAAAUACUUUUCCACUAUGGACAUAAAGAAAGGUUACCUAAACAUUAAAAUAAGGGAAUCUGACCAACAUAAGGCAGCUUUCAUUACACCUGACGGUCUUUACGAAUUCGUUCGAAUGCCUUUUGGUCCACACCCGCCACUGGUGCUCCCGCCACUUGGCAAGCAGUAAUGGAUGAAGCAUUUCAUUCCCUCAAGUGGAAGGACGUUGUAAUUGUCUAUUUCGAUGACAUCUGUAUCUACACUUCCACUAUAGACGAACAUCUCGAUGUUCUUGACCAAUCUAUGUCCAUACUGGAGAAUUAUGGUUUCAAAAUCGAGAUCAAUAAUUGUCAGUUCAUUCAGACCCAUAUAAAGUUUCUGGGUUACAUUGUAUCUCAUGAGGGUAAACUGCCACAUUCGGAGAGGUCAGCUGCUGUUGACAAAUACCCCGAUACAUUGAACACAAUACAAGACGUAAAGAGAUGUUUGGGCUUUGCUUCUUAUUUUCGCAAAUUCAUCAAAGGUUUUGCUGAAAUUGCGCGACCUCUAUCACUCCUCUUGCGAAACAAGCAACAGUCCAAAAGCACUGGCAAAACGAACAUUACGUCAGAAUGGACACCUACACACACUGAGGCUGUACGUAACCUCAAAUCUCCCUUAAAAUCACCACCUAUUUUGGCUCAUUUUGAUCCAGACAAAGAAACUCAUGUUGAUGCUUCAGCGAAACAUCUAGGAGCGUUCAUCUCACAGAAACACGAUGGAAAAGAGCAUGUUGUUGAGUAUGCCAGCAGAGCAACCAACACAACAGAGGAAAAACUGCAUUCAAACAUGCUCGAAUGCAUUGCUCUUCAUUGGGCACUCACAGACAAAUUUCGUAUUUAUGUCUAUGGGUUGCCUAUCGUCCAUGUUUGGACAGACAACUACAGUGUCUCCUUAAUGACCAAUGCACAGCAAAUCAAUAGAAAUUUGCUCGCAUGGUUCUCGAUCUUCAAGAACUUCCUCUGAAGAUACACCAUCGUUCUGGAAAAACCAAUGUUGUCGCUGAUGACUAAUUCUCACUGCCGAGAAUUCUCAUCUCUCCAAUCACCAACAGUCAGAUCCGUCGUUAUUAGAGAUUUUUUAAGUCCUCAAAAAUCCUAAUAUUUCUUCUCGCAAAGCUGAGAACAUGCGGAAUACAUUCAUGUUGUCAAAUGGCAUACUCUGCCACAAAACAACUCAACAAAACGGACUGACAAAAACAAGGAUUGUCAUACCAGAAUCUCUUAGGAAAGAGAUAUUGCUUAAGUUUCAUGAUAAACGUGGUCACAUGAACAAAUUCAAGACCAAAGGCAGUAUUCUGAGCAAAUACUGGUGGUCGUCCAUUAAUAAGGACGUCAAAGAGUACGUCCAGGGUUGUAACAUUUGUCAGCGCUUCAACAGACAAACAUCGAAGCCCGUGGGAUACUUACAUCCUCGACCAAUUCCCACACAACCUUUCACCACAAGACCCCUCGAUCACAUUGGUCCACUUCCGGAAACAGGAAAUGGAAACAAGUACAUCAUUGUAUGUGUUGACCACACUACAUGCUUUGUAGUAACACAGGCUGUGAAAUCAACAGCAUCGUCACAUAUCAUACAGUUCAAUAAGGAAAAGAUCAACACAACUUUUGGUAUUCCUAUGACAAUUGUUUCUGACCAAGGUUCAGGUUUCAUGAGUCAGAACAUGGAAAAAUUCCUAACCACAACAGGAAUUGAACACACAACUUCUUGUCCUUAUUUCCAUCAGGCAAAUUAUCUCGUGGAAAGAUCUGUAGCCACCAUAAAGCAUAUUCUAAAAAAAUAUUGCUUUGAGAUUCCUUCAAAAUGGGACCAAUACAUCGCAAACACCACUUCUUUCAUAAACACUUCAAGACAAGGUUCUACUAGAUUUUCACCAUAUUUCCUUCUCUUUGGAUUUGAACCUCGUAUUGAAAACGAGAUUCAGGUUGGUGUAAUCGUUGACGAUAUGUCGCGACUUCAGAACAUUGAAAUGCUACACGACAUACGUGCAGAAGCACGCGAAAACCUAGAAAACGCUCUAUCCUCUCAGAAGAGACGUUACGACUACGGUCGAAACCCAUAUCAGUUCUCUGUGGGUGACUUAGUUUGGAUAGAAUCCUUUUCAACUUCACCUUUUGAUCCCAAGUACAAGGACAAGUUAUUUCUACUCAUCCCCAUGACAUUUGUACUGGAUGAAAGAAUAACAAAAACAGUUUCACAAAUGAAACUGUUCAAGGAUCAGCCAGAUUGGGAUCCUAACAUUACGUUUCAUGAUAUAGACAGUGACGAGAAUGUCUCUGUUCAUCAAGACAGUUCUUGAGAAUCCGAAGAAACACUUAGUCCACCUUACACGACAAGGUAUGGACGCGUCACCAAACAAAGGGUACCAUUACAUGCGUACGACCUUGUUUGACUUUGUUUCAAAGUACACACAUUCCAUAGGGACGCCUUGGUGAAUGUCGUUCAUUCAUGGACAGGGGACGCUCUGGUCCGCAAAUGAGUUUGUACUACAUUGCUUUAAAUGUAUCCAGUGUCUGCAAUAUGAAUUUUGUUGCGGUCACUUUUCCUUUGCUUUUCACUUUGGGUUACUUCCACAUUUCUUAGUUACUCACGCACACAGCCACACUGAAACACACGCUUACAUUGUUGCUGUUUAGCAUUUCCCUUCUACUGACCUCUUCAGAUCAGCUUUCUGCAUUUCGAAUUUGGUGUCUUAGUUUCGAAUUUAGUCACUUCUUCGCACUAGUUCUCUGCAUGUAAUUAGCAUUGCUGUAAUUAGCUGUGCUAUGUCAUGUACUAGACUAUCAUGUCCAGACUAGACUGUCAUGUACUACUACAUGUAGAACUUUCUACUUCAAUGUUAACAAAUUCACAAUGUGUUAGAAUUAGGAGAUUCUACUACUUCCUUUGAGGGUGGAUUAUUAAACUCUCUUAAACCUAGGUUAUGCAUUUCAGGACAAAAGAUGCUGCAUGCUUCUGCCAAGGGCCCUGGCAUGAAUCAUGUUCUCUUUUGUUUUUAUCCUGUUUCUGAACAGCUUCGAUUUUAAACUGUUAAAUUUCUGUAUUUCCGCAAUUGUAGCGUUUCAUUUUUCCUCAGUGUAAUAACGAAAUGAGGACAUUUCAUUUUUUGUUAGAGGUGGGCGUGUGAGAGCCAAUCUGUUCAAUUCGGCCUCACCGUCAUUGUCAUAAGCCAGCAGUGGCGCCGCUACAUGCUUAUAAGCGCGCGCCACGUGCUGUUCUCAGUUCUUUCAUCGUACGACGUUCAUCAUCAUACGUCGUUAGCUAGUCUGUUCGAUCCUCGCUUUGGCUCAUUCGACCCUUCAUCACCCAAAUUGCUAGGUAUAUCUUUCCUGCCAUUUAUUCAUUGUAUGUAUCAUACCAGAGUGCUAGUAAACUGUCUGUGUGUUAUCCAAAUGCCGUAUUCCUGAAUCUUGUUUUGAGUUUGGCAGAUAGCCAGGGACAUCGGGUCCAUCACCAGCGUUAACACCUUUCUUCACUCCUUCCCUUUGUCUAUCUUGCCUCACAGAACUGAAUGUAGUCCACCACAGCUGAAGUGUUGGUACUAUGACGUCCUCGUGCUCUUGCCUCAGCUGUAGUUCCAGGUUUGCCAAUUAAAUAAUACAUAGGCUCCA
This is a long non-coding RNA of Ornithodoros turicata, 5907 nucleotides long. RefSeq lists it as uncharacterized. The transcript has 3 exons. The record is from RefSeq and is a predicted model, not a curated record. NCBI's taxonomy places the organism in Eukaryota, Metazoa, Arthropoda, Arachnida, Ixodida, Argasidae.